Molecule: long non-coding RNA, 325 nt
Organism: Chinchilla lanigera (long-tailed chinchilla)
Lineage: Eukaryota; Metazoa; Chordata; Mammalia; Rodentia; Chinchillidae
Exons: 3
Source: RefSeq, a predicted model, not a curated record
GGGGAUGUGGCUGAAAGCUGCCUCUUACUCCACCACCUAUUGCCAGCCUCUGCUGUAGCUGAUCAUUUACUAAAGAAAAUCAGGAAAUGGAUUUUGAGCUCAGAAAAGUUGAACUGGCUUCAGAUUAGAAAAAAAAAUCAGUGUCAAAACAAAAAGGAUACCUCAGAUUUUGGAAGAGAUCUAUCCCUCCAUUGGAACGGUUCCCCAGAAUCCAGAACACUCACUGGCCAGCAGGGCCUUGUCUAAGGUAAGCCCACAGUUCCUAAGAUUUUCUCACACAACGAAGUGCUGCAUCUCAGCUGUUGGCAACUCAGACCAAGGCAUC